This 253-nucleotide ribosomal RNA is filed under the name uncultured bacterium. RNAcentral describes it as "partial 16S ribosomal RNA". It matches the Rfam family "Bacterial small subunit ribosomal RNA", at positions 524 to 776 of the family's 1533-position model. The record is from RNAcentral.
UACGAAGGGGGCGAGCGUUGUUCGGAAUUACUGGGCGUAAGGGGCGCGUAGGCGGCGAACCAAGUCAGAUGUGAAAGUCCUGGGCUUAACCUGGGGACUGCAUUUGAUACUGGUUUGCUUGAAUUCGGGAGAGGAUAGCGGAAUUCCCAGUGUAGAGGUGAAAUUCGUAGAUAUUGGGAAGAACACCGGUGGCGAAGGCGGCUAUCUGGACCGACAUUGACGCUGAGGCGCGAAAGCGUGGGGAGCAAACAGG